RNAcentral lists this non-coding RNA (336 nucleotides) under Hathewaya proteolytica. RNAcentral's name for it is "Clostridium proteolyticum T-box sequence". The stretch from base 1 to 247 matches the Rfam family "T-box leader". From Rfam's summary of the family: Uncharged tRNA acts as the effector for transcription antitermination of genes in the T-box leader family. T-boxes are found upstream of many aminoacyl-tRNA synthetase genes and some amino acid biosynthetic genes usually in Gram-positive bacteria. Lineage: Bacteria; Bacillati; Bacillota; Clostridia; Eubacteriales; Clostridiaceae. The record is from RNAcentral.
AUAAAAUCAGUGAGCAGAAGGAGUAACUAGAGAAGUUUAGUUUCAGCGAGUCUGGGGUAGUGUAAGCCAGGUACUGUAGUCUGUAGUGAAUGGGUCUGUAAGAUGAGGUGUGAAAUCAUAGUAGCACUUUCCGGAGUGUCCACCGUUAUAGGGACAGGGUAUCGAGUUUUCGAUGUAGCAAAUUGACUCCGUACCUGGAAGAGUAAGUAUAUUUAGGUGGCAUAGCGAAUAACAUUUCGUCCUAUUAAGGAGGAAGUGUUUUUUUUAUGUGACAAAGAGUUUUACCUAAAUGUAUGAAAAAUAUGGGUGGCAACAUGAAGUCACUUCGUCCCAUGA